GCUUACGGCCAUACCACCCUGAACACGCCCGAUCUCGUCAAGCUAAGCAGGGUCGGGCCUGGUUAGUACUUGGAUGGGAGACGCCUGGGAAUACCAGGUGCUGUAAGCU
RNAcentral lists this ribosomal RNA (109 nucleotides) under Labrus bergylta (ballan wrasse). Lineage: Eukaryota; Metazoa; Chordata; Actinopteri; Labriformes; Labridae. The record is from RNAcentral.